This is a transfer RNA of Camelus ferus (Wild Bactrian camel), 73 nucleotides long. It matches the Rfam family "tRNA". From Rfam's summary of the family: Transfer RNA (tRNA) molecules are approximately 80 nucleotides in length. Their secondary structure includes four short double-helical elements and three loops (D, anti-codon, and T loops). NCBI's taxonomy places the organism in Eukaryota, Metazoa, Chordata, Mammalia, Artiodactyla, Camelidae. The record is from Rfam.
GAGGGUAUAGCUCAAGUGGUAGAGCGCAUGCUUAGUGUGCACUAGGUCCUGGGUUCAAUCCCCAGUGCCGCCU